CCUCCGCCACUGCGUCUGUCUUCCAAAAUCUGGCGGCGCACACAACCAAUUCGCCGCCGGGCCCCCACCUCUCCACCCGCAUGGCCGAUCUGUGAACAGAGCAAGCAUCAAUGGAGUAGGUUCCUCCUAAUCUUUCCACUCCCCUCUCUCCUUUGGAUCAAGCUCCCUCCACCUGGAGGAAGGGCUGAAGCCGGGUCGAUUCCGUCGUGCGUCAGAGCUUAGAGGCAUCACCGCCGGGGCGCGUCACCGGGCCACACGCCGAGAGAGCAGCGCGGUUACUGGCUGCACGUUGGAGCCUUGGAGGUUGCUGGCUCGCAGCAGGCUGGGGCUGCUGGACAUGGAGAUCAGAUGGAGCAUAAGUCAGCGAGUACUUCAAUCUCAAGUUCGAGCUCCCCGUCCAGCCCCAUGUCUUCGUCUUCACAUGAAUCACUGAGCGACUACUUCGUCGGCCAAACACCCGGCUCCUGCUGCAAAGAUGUCCACUGUCCAAGACCCGUGCGUAUCAUUAUUCUCCCUGUCUGUGCCGCGCAACAGCAGUUUCCUGUAGCCCUGCCUCCAUCAGCUUCUCCCUCUUCCUUGCAAUCGGUUGUCCAGAAUGCGCUGGCCGCUGGGCGUAAGUACCAAGUGGCUGGCUGUUUAGUUAGAUUGCUGUGGCUGGUUGUUUAGUUAGAUUACUGACAACAAUGUCCCAUUCAUUUGUGCGCAUGAUGAUCAGCAAGAUUCAUGGACAGCGCAAAUUAAGUAGUAGAGCAGAGCGUUUAUCUUAUCA
This is a long non-coding RNA of Triticum dicoccoides, 769 nucleotides long. RefSeq lists it as uncharacterized. The transcript is spliced from 3 exons. Lineage: Eukaryota; Viridiplantae; Streptophyta; Magnoliopsida; Poales; Poaceae. The record is from RefSeq and is a predicted model, not a curated record.